CCUACGGGGUGCUGCAGUGGGGAAUAUUGGACAAUGGGCGAAAGCCUGAUCCAGCCAUGCCGCGUGUGUGAAGAAGGCCUUCGGGUUGUAAAGCACUUUCAGUGGGGAAGAAAGCCUUGGGGCUAAUACCCUCGAGGAAGGACAUCACCCACAGAAGAAGCACCGGCUAACUCCGUGCCAGCAGCCGCGGUAAUACGGAGGGUGCGAGCGUUAAUCGGAAUUACUGGGCGUAAAGCGCGCGUAGGCGGUCUGAUAAGCCGGUUGUGAAAGCCCCGGGCUCAACCUGGGAACGGCAUCCGGAACUGUCAGGCUAGAGUGCAGGAGAGGAAGGUAGAAUUCCCGGUGUAGCGGUGAAAUGCGUAGAGAUCGGGAGGAAUACCAGUGGCGAAGGCGGCCUUCUGGACUGACACUGACGCUGAGGUGCGAAAGCGUGGGUAGCAAACAGGAUUAGAUACCCCAGUAGC
RNAcentral lists this ribosomal RNA (464 nucleotides) under Vreelandella stevensii. RNAcentral's name for it is "partial 16S ribosomal RNA". It matches the Rfam family "Bacterial small subunit ribosomal RNA", at positions 338 to 794 of the family's 1533-position model. Lineage: Bacteria; Pseudomonadati; Pseudomonadota; Gammaproteobacteria; Oceanospirillales; Halomonadaceae. The record is from RNAcentral.